AACGAACGCUGGCGGCAUGCCUAACACAUGCAAGUCGAACGAUACCUUCGGGUCUAGUGGCGCACGGUUGCGUACCGCGUGGUAACCUGCCCUUAGGUUCCGUAUAUCUCCCCGAAGGGGAUGCUAUUACCGGAUAAUCUAUUCCGGCCAAAGAUUUAUUGCCUUUUGAUGGGCCCUCGUUAGAUUAGCUUGUUGGUAGGGUAAAAGCCUACCAAGGCGACUAUCCAAAGCUGGUCUGAGAGGAUGAUCAGCCACACUGGGACUGAGAGACGGCCCAGACUCCUACGAGAGGAAGGAGUGGGGAAUAAUGGACAAUGGGCGAAAGAAUGAGCCAGCAAGGCCGCGUGAGUGAGGAAGGAGUUAGGGAUGUAAGGGUGUUUUACAAGGGAUGAUAAUGACAGUACCGUGAGAAUAAGCUACGGCUAACUACGUG
This 433-nucleotide ribosomal RNA is filed under the name uncultured bacterium. RNAcentral describes it as "partial 16S ribosomal RNA". It matches the Rfam family "Bacterial small subunit ribosomal RNA", at positions 29 to 507 of the family's 1533-position model. The record is from RNAcentral.